Molecule: ribosomal RNA, 207 nt
Filed under: uncultured bacterium
Lineage: Bacteria
Description: partial 16S ribosomal RNA
Rfam family: Bacterial small subunit ribosomal RNA
Source: RNAcentral
CGCGUAGGCGGCUAGGCAAGUCAGAGGUGAAAUCCCUCGGCUCAACCGAGGAACUGCCUCUGAUACUGCCUGGCUUGAGUCCCGGAGAGGGUAGUGGAAUUCCCAGUGUAGCGGUGAAAUGCGUAGAUAUUGGGAGGAACACCGGUGGCGAAGGCGGCUACCUGGACGGGUACUGACGCUGAGGCGCGAAAGCGUGGGGAGCAAACA